This is a non-coding RNA of Daldinia sp. FL1419, 134 nucleotides long. Lineage: Eukaryota; Fungi; Ascomycota; Sordariomycetes; Xylariales; Hypoxylaceae. The record is from the annotation of a GenBank genome assembly.
GCCCGGUUAGCUCAAUCGGUAGAGCGUGAGACUCUUAAUCUCAAGGUUGCGGGUAAGUCUAAAUAGAUAAAUCCAUUACAAUGGUCACCCACGUACUAACCCAGCUCGAAUAGGUUCGACCCCCGCAUCGGGCU